This 494-nucleotide ribosomal RNA is filed under the name uncultured bacterium. RNAcentral's name for it is "partial 16S ribosomal RNA". It matches the Rfam family "Bacterial small subunit ribosomal RNA", at positions 28 to 506 of the family's 1533-position model. The record is from RNAcentral.
GACGAACGCUGGCGGCGUGCCUAAUACAUGCAAGUCGAACGCUGAAGGAGGAGCUUGCUUCUCUGGAUGAGUUGCGAACGGGUGAGUAACGCGUAGGUAACCUGCCUGGUAGCGGGGGAUAACUAUUGGAAACGAUAGCUAAUACCGCAUAAUAGUAGAUGUUGCAUGACAUUUGCUUAAAAGGUGCAAUUGCAUCACUACCAGAUGGACCUGCGUUGUAUUAGCUAGUUGGUGAGGUAACGGCUUACCAAGGCAGCGAUACAUAGCCGACCUGAGAGGGUGAUCGGCCACACUGGGACUGAGACACGGCCCAGACUCCUACGGGAGGCAGCAGUAGGGAAUCUUCGGCAAUGGACGGAAGUCUGACCGAGCAACGCCGCGUGAGUGAAGAAGGUGUUCGGAUCGUAAAGCUCUGUUGUAAGAGAAGAACGAGUGUGAGAGUGGAAAGUUCACACUGUGACGGUAUCUUACCAGAAAGGGACGGCUAACUACGU